GGAUGGGGAGCCGACACUGGGUGCUUCCCUGACAUGUGCUGGUCUCUGGUUACGAGAUGAGGGAGCCCACACCUCAGAGCAAAAGAAGAGAACCAGUACAGAAGCAACUUUUAAAAAUAUGCCUGGUUGAGAGACCUGCCCCUGCCUACAUCUUUCAGUGGGGUGUGUCCAUCCUCCUGCUUUCCCACAUCACAUUGAAAGAGCACUAAUGACGGGGAGGAUGGAGACAAUGUUUGGAUUUACUUAGGAAGCACGUACCCUAAACACUGGUGCAUGAAGAAUCCCCCCGGAGCUCUUAUCCUACAUAAUGCCUGCCUCUACACCACAAUGCAUGCUCACCACUUAGUUUUAAAGAAGAUGCAAACAGAUCUAGAAAGCCUCAACCAGCUGCUCCAUUUAAGAGAGGGAGUUUAAACUAUAGGGACUCAAAACAUCAUUUCUGGGAGACUGUGGGCCAAGAAAGAAUUAACUAAAUAGGUUUUUCUACCUGUGACAGGGCCACAUCCACUCUUGAAUUUGGGGGUGUUGGGGGAGGGGUCGUGUGUGUGUUGGUCAGAAGAGGGGCACCAUGCUGCAUGCUUUUUAGAGUAUACAGACUCUCAUGGCCCAGCCAAGGCUCAGCACUAGGCAUGUCACCGAAUUCUCUAACACCCACCAUGAUGAACUGAUGUGAGCUCCAUACCCUGAGGUUCCAGCAUCCAUCACAAUGAUCCGAGAGAAGGAGAUUAUCCCCCUGAAGCACAAAUUGGGGUCCUGGAUGGCAGCCAAUGAUCAUAAGAGAUGCCGUAGACACGAGGAGAGUCUAGCUUUUGCCGGGCUGAUUUGAAAGGAUUAGGUGGAUGUUUAGGGCCAGCCCUCACCAGCACGAAGAAAAGAUAUCCUGACGCUUCCAGCCUGACUAGGUCAGAGCCUACUACAGGUUACAGACAGUGUAGAGAAACAAAACAAGACAAAAAAAAAAUCACAGUACAGUACAUGGUGAACUCACACACGUGUUCACACGCACAGCCAAACAAGAGGACCGCACACAACGACACCUAGAGAAGCCACCAGGAUUAACGUGCUUUCUUCAUAUCUGCUCAUUAAACAAAAAAAUUAUCACGCAUAGCGUGUUUGAAAGUUAACAGUAACAUUUCAUACUACCACAGGGUUGUGAUAUGCAAAUUUAAAAUAUUUUAAACAGAAACCUUUACAAAAUAAUCCUAUUACAUAAGCAAUAUUUGCAUAGAAUUAUACAAGUAAAUUAUACAAUAUUUAAGCAGCAGCAACAUAUGCUGAAAUUUAAGACUAAUGAAGCUUGGUUGUGGCACGGAG
RNAcentral lists this long non-coding RNA (1314 nucleotides) under Homo sapiens (human). RNAcentral's name for it is "non-protein coding lnc-C9orf3-6:1". The record is from RNAcentral. Lineage: Eukaryota; Metazoa; Chordata; Mammalia; Primates; Hominidae.